AUUGAACGCUGGCGGCAGGCCUAACACAUGCAAGUCGAACGAGUGGCGGACGGGUGAGUACUGUCUGGGAAACUGCCCGAUGGAGGGGGAUAACUACUGGAAACGGUAGCUAAUACCGCAUACCAUCGGAUGUGCCCAGAGGGGGUUAGCUAGUGGGUGGGGUAACGGCUCACCUAGGCGACGAUCCCUAGCCGGUCUGAGAGGAUGACCGGCCACACUGGAACUGAGACACGGCCCAGACUCCUACGGGAGGCAGCAGUGGGGAAUAUUGCACAAUGGGCGAAAGCCUGAUACAGCCACGCCGCGUGUAUGAAGAAGGUCUUAGGGUUGUAAAGUACUUUCAUCGGGGAGGCGUUACCCGCAGAAGAAGCACCGGCUAACUCCGUGUCAGCAGCCGCGGUAAUUC
This 406-nucleotide ribosomal RNA is filed under the name uncultured bacterium. RNAcentral describes it as "partial 16S ribosomal RNA". It matches the Rfam family "Bacterial small subunit ribosomal RNA", at positions 30 to 526 of the family's 1533-position model. The record is from RNAcentral.